This is a long non-coding RNA of Alosa alosa (allis shad), 175 nucleotides long. RefSeq lists it as uncharacterized. The transcript has 3 exons. NCBI's taxonomy places the organism in Eukaryota, Metazoa, Chordata, Actinopteri, Clupeiformes, Clupeidae. The record is from RefSeq and is a predicted model, not a curated record.
GAACAUCUAGGACCUGGUAAACUUCUGGAGAGCGAGGUCAGAAAUGCAUACUGUGUACCUCCACAUGACUGUGAGUGUGUGCACUCAAUAGGGUGACCAGAUGAGAUUGGCUGAAAUUCGGGACGCUUUUGUUUUUCGCCGGGGUGGGCCCUUUGGACUAUGAAGUCAUGGUGGG